GAUGAACGCUGGCGGCGUGCCUAAUACAUGCAAGUCGAGCGGAAGGACGCGACGCUUGCUUCUCUGAUGUUAGCGGAGGACGGGUGUGUCACGCGUGUAUACCCUCCCUAUCAGACUGGGAUCACCUCGGGACUCCGGCUAUUAUACCGUAUAAUAUUUUGCACCGCAUGGUUCAAAAGUGAAAGACGGUCUUGCUGGCUCUUAUAGCUGGAUCUGCGCUGCAUUAGCUAGUUGGUAAGGUCACGGCUUAUCAAGGCAACGAUGCAUAGCCGAACUGAGAGGGGGAUCGGCGACACGGGAACUGAGACACGGUCCAGACUCCUGCGGGAGGCAGCAGUAGGGAAUCUUCCGCAGUAGUCGAAAGCCUUACGCAGCAGGGGCGCGUGAGUGAUGGAGGUCUUCCGAUCGGAAUGCUCUGUUAUGAGGUAAGAACAGAUUUGUAAGGAACCGUGGACAUAGUGACGGUAACGAGUCAGAAAGCCACGGCUAACUACGUG
Molecule: ribosomal RNA, 497 nt
Filed under: uncultured bacterium
Lineage: Bacteria
Description: partial 16S ribosomal RNA
Rfam family: Bacterial small subunit ribosomal RNA
Source: RNAcentral